AAGACUAUAGACCUGCGGAGUACCUGCGGAGGGAUCAUUAACGAGUUAGGGUCUUCUAGGCCCGACCUCCCAACCCUUUGCUUACUUGACCAUUGUUGCUUCGGCGAGCCCGUCUUUACUGACCGCCGGAGGACCGUAGAACGUCCUCUGGUCCGUGCUCGUCGGUGGCCAACUCUUCUAAAUUCUUAACUAAACGUGUCAUUAUCUAAGUACUAUUGUUAAUAAAAGCAAAACUUUUAA
This 240-nucleotide unclassified non-coding RNA is filed under the name soil metagenome. RNAcentral describes it as "partial contains 5.8S ribosomal RNA, internal transcribed spacer 2, and large subunit ribosomal RNA". The record is from RNAcentral.